Molecule: ribosomal RNA, 484 nt
Filed under: uncultured bacterium
Lineage: Bacteria
Description: partial 16S ribosomal RNA
Rfam family: Bacterial small subunit ribosomal RNA
Source: RNAcentral
AUUGAACGCUGGCGGCAUGCUUUACACAUGCAAGUCGAACGGCAGCGCGGGCUUCGGCCUGGCGGCGAGUGGCGAACGGGUGAGUAAUGCAUCGGAACGUGCCCAGUAGUGGGGGAUAGCCCGGCGAAAGCCGGAUUAAUACCGCAUACGACCUGAGGGUGAAAGCGGGGGACAGAAAGGCCUCGCGCUAUUGGAGCGGCCGAUGUCGGAUUAGCUAGUUGGUGGGGUAAAGGCUUACCAAGGCGACGAUCCGUAGCUGGUCUGAGAGGACGACCAGCCACACUGGGACUGAGACACGGCCCAGACUCCUACGGGAGGCAGCAGUGGGGAAUUUUGGACAAUGGAGGCAACCCUGAUCCAGCCAUGCCGCGUGCGGGAAGAAGGCCUUCGGGUUGUAAACCGCUUUUGUUCGGGAAGAAAUCCUCUGGGCUAAUACCCCGGGGGGAUGACGGUACCGGAAGAAUAAGCACCGGCUAACUACGUG